RNAcentral lists this ribosomal RNA (440 nucleotides) under uncultured bacterium. Its description in RNAcentral is "partial 16S ribosomal RNA". It matches the Rfam family "Bacterial small subunit ribosomal RNA", at positions 338 to 795 of the family's 1533-position model. The record is from RNAcentral.
ACUACGGGAGGCAGCAGUGGGGAAUAUUGCAAAAUGGGGGAAACCCUGAUGCAGCGACGCCGCGUGAGUGAAGAAGUAAUUCGUUAUGUACAGCUCUAUCAGCAGGGAAGAAAAUGACGGUACCUGAGUAAGAAGCCCCGGCUAACUACGUGCCAGCAGCCGCGGUAAUACGUUGGGGGCCAGCGUGAUCCGGAUUUACUGGGUGUAAAGGGAGCGUAGACGGCAGUGCAAGUAUGGAGUGAAGGGCCGGGGCUCAACCCCCGGACUGCUCUGGAAACUGUACGGCGGGGGUGCAGGGGAGGUAAGUUGAAUUCCUAGUGUAGCGGUGAAAUGCGUAGAUAUUAGGAGGAACACCAGGGGCGAAGGCGGCUUACUGGACUGUAACUGACGUUGAGGCUCGAAAGCGUGGGGAGCAAACAGGAUUAGAUACCCUAGUAGUC